UGAUAGUGAUAUAAAGAGUUGCUUCAUGCUUACAAAUCUUUGUUUUCUUUUGUUUUUCUGUUUCUCUAUAUUCCAUUUUUUUGGUCAGCCCUCUAUAUUCUAUGUAAUAAUAAGUUUUAAAUCUCUGAGACCAUAUUGUCUGCAUCCAAGAGUUUUAACAAAAUUUAAGAAGCUAAGUUAUUGAGAAGCUUUGCAAUCUGGUGUUUGGAGUUUAUUUAUAAAUUUGCAAUAAUCAUUUUGAGAUUGAUUCUUCUCAUGUUUCAUUACAUAUUAGUGUUUGCCAAUCUUUUAUGCUCUUUUUAACAUGGAACUUCACUUCACUGCAGUUAUUG
RNAcentral lists this long non-coding RNA (332 nucleotides) under Brassica napus (rape). RNAcentral's name for it is "long non-coding RNA (BNAP_LNC000472)". Lineage: Eukaryota; Viridiplantae; Streptophyta; Magnoliopsida; Brassicales; Brassicaceae. The record is from RNAcentral.